GAUGAACGCUAGCGGCAGGCCUAAUACAUGCAAGUCGAACGAGAUUAAGAGGCUUGCUUCUUAUGAAAGUGGCGCACGGGUGCGUAACGCGUAUGCAACCUACCUUAAUCAGGGGGAUAGCCCGAAGAAAUUCGGAUUAAGACCGCAUAAAAACACAGGAUAGCAUUAUCCAAUGUUCAAAUAUUUAUAGGAUUAAGAUGGGCAUGCGUGUCAUUAGCUAGUUGGCGGGGUAACGGCCCACCAAGGCGACGAUGACUAGGGGAUCUGAGAGGAUGACCCCCCACACUGGUACUGAGACACGGACCAGACUCCUACGGGAGGCAGCAGUAAGGAAUAUUGGUCAAGGGAGGGAACUCUGAACCAGCCAUGCCGCGUGCAGGAAGACAGCCCUCUGGGUCGUAAACUGCUUUUAUUCGGGAAUAAACCUUUCUACGUGUAGGAAGCUGAAUGUACCGAAGGAAUAAGGAUCGGCUAACUCCGUG
Molecule: ribosomal RNA, 482 nt
Filed under: uncultured bacterium
Lineage: Bacteria
Description: partial 16S ribosomal RNA
Rfam family: Bacterial small subunit ribosomal RNA
Source: RNAcentral